UUUUUUUUUUUUCCUUUUUAAUGUUUCUGUGGAGCUGAGCUGCAGCGUCAGUGGAUCAGAAAGAGGGAGAGACAGAGAAAAAAGUGGGAGAGAGGGAGAGGGGGAGACAGGAGCCUCUGAGCUGCCCAGACUCUGACUCCGAGGUUGUAAUUACAGAGAAUAGAGAUGUCUCCAAAACAAUGCGAGCCAUUCCAGGCUGGGGGAGAGGAGCUUUUGGGAUGGUUGUGCUCUAUUUUUUUUUUGUUCACCCCCUUCUCUUUUUCUGUCUUUUCUGCCCAGAAACCUGGGUUUUUAACGUGGGGAGAGGAUUCUAUUUUAAAUUUCUUUGCGGCAGCUGGUUUCUGUUCACUAUAAAUCGAGCAGACUUUUAAGACUUGCCCUCUGUUUAGAGAAGUAAUAAAACACUUAACUUUCUCGGCUCCUAGUCACACGGUUAUCACACAGGUCUCGGUACCACAGCCCCCAGCACCUAUACAACAACAACAAAAAAAUAUAUACAAAGAAGGGGGGAAGGAGAACAAAAAGAAUAAAAAAUAAAAAUAAUAAUUAAAAAAAAAAAAGAAAAAAAAAAAAAAGAAAAAAAACCACAUCCCCUUAGAAGGAACCUUUCCAGAAACUCCUUCAAACUUUGGGAAGACUGAAGGAAUGGAAAUGCCCUCGCAUAGGUGCAGCUCCCCCCCAGCGGAAGGUCCAACCCCAUCCAGCUGCAGCUACUUUUAAUUUAGUCGCCAAAUUAGAGCGGGCUGGGAGCCCUGCACAGGGUAAGGAACCCACGUCAAGGACUGCAAAGUCCUCGUUCCUCCAUCUCUGCCUUCAGUCCAUUUCUGGGACCUUCGCAACAGUUUAAUCUCUCCUGGACAGUGGAGGUUCUCCAGCUGAGCCUGCCUUGGGAAGACCAGCCUGCAGGGAAGAUGCACCCAUGGAUAAGAAUAUUUACAACCCAUCCCUGGCUCUCCAGAUCCACCCAGUGCCUCUGGCUGGGGCUCACACAGCUCAGCAGAAGGCGGUAAAAAUAAAAUAAACCAAAAAAAAAACCAAAAAAAGAAAUAAUAAUAAAAAAAUAAUACCCCAAAUCAUUGUAUUUGCGCCUCUUUCUUUGAUUCCAGCAAUCUCCGGGCUGGCUGUAGGGAAACGAAAGGCAGCUGAAGAGCUGAAGUUGGGGUUUUUUUGGGGGGGAAAGCGUCUGUAAAUCUGCCCCCUGUGCCCGAGGCUCCGGGCUGGGCAGCUCUAGGUGGGUCCCGGCCGCACUCCCGCAUCAGCCCUAAGAUGGUGCCCACUUCCAACCACCUCUUUUUUUGGUGGGAAACUUUAUUUUUUUCCCCUAGUGACACUCAGGGGAAGCCUGAACGUUAUAGAAGAUGAAUACACGAGCUUUUUUUUUUUUGUCAGUUGUAGUCCCGUUUAUGGUUUUAUUGCUACCAUUGAUUACUUUGCUUUGUUACACAGAGGAAAAAGAGCAUAAAAUCCGGUGGCAUCCGGGUUCCUGUUAUAGCUGGGGAAAAAAAUAUACACACUCCCCCCCAACCCUUCUUUGUCAGCUAAAAUCUUUUAGGGAUACAUAGCGAAAAAGAGGAAUUAAGUCUAUUGAUGGAGAGAAAAGCAAACAAAUACACUCAGUUUGGGAUUUGAGGGUGCACCCACAAACCUUCCUCUCCCCAACCCCCGCACCUUCAGAUUUAAAAUAAAAACGUGGACACGAUGGAGGUUAAAAGAAAAAAACCCAACACACACACACAAGCAACACAACAAACCACACAGAGGAGGCCAGGGUUUCCCUGCCAUAAUUGAAUUUUUAAAUAGCAAGCCACCAGAAUGAUAAAGAUACCUCGCAAUAUUUACAGAUCAGCAGGUAUGUUUUACAUUUAAAGGGCAAUUUAUGGCUCUAGAUUGAAAUUAAAACUAGAUUAGCUGUCUUCAUUUCAAUUAGUUCUAGGUGCCAUCUAGCCAGAGAAGACAGAAUAUAAUCCUCCCCCCCCCCCCCUUUUUCGCCUAACUAAAUAUUUGCAAUAGAAGUUUCCCCAUCAGUUGUAAAUAUCUGCAAACAUAAAUCGCUGCAAACCCAAACACGAGGUUGUGUCCCCAGCCCAGGCUCCCCAUUACAAAUACAAAUCCUCUUUUUUUUUUUGUUCUUUCCCCCCCCUCCUUGUUGUUGUUGUUGAAAACGUAAAUAUCCUCCAGCAUUGAAAAUGAGCAAGGGAAAGGUUUGAGAGGAGAAAUGUCAAACUAGAGGAGAAAUCUAACUUCCAGGCUAACGUGAGUUUGCAAGGUUGGAUGUAGCUUUCCUGGAUGGCUUUUUUUUUUUUCCCUCCCCUCCCAGGACCCACUUUGGGAAGGCUCUGAACCACGUUAUCAAUUCAGAAGUCGCCAUGUUUUCCCCCCUCUCUUUAUGUCAUAUUUUCUCAUCAGGAACACAACCAUUUGAUUCCAUAAUAUUGACCAACGCUACAUGAGAACAAGAAGAGGGGAAGGGGAAAAAAAAAAAAAAAAAAGGAAGAAAAGGAGGGUAAUUUAUGGCUUAAUAUUCUGUGGACAUCUGAGAUUUAUUACUGUGAAUUCUGAGCUAUUUUAUUACAAGAUAUUAAGCAAACAUUUCUUUAAAAAGCACACAACACCCACAACAAGGCACAUCAUGCACAGAGACACAGACGGUGCUGCCAAGCGUCAGCAGAAAA
This is a long non-coding RNA of Cuculus canorus (common cuckoo), 2672 nucleotides long. RefSeq lists it as uncharacterized. The record is from RefSeq and is a predicted model, not a curated record. The transcript has 3 exons. NCBI's taxonomy places the organism in Eukaryota, Metazoa, Chordata, Aves, Cuculiformes, Cuculidae.